AGCGGCGGACGGGUGAGUAACGCGUGGGUAACCUGCCUCAUACAGGGGGAUAACAGUUGGAAACGGCUGCUGAUACCGCAUAAGCGCACAGUACCGCAUGGUACGGUGUGAAAAACUCCGGUGGUAUGAGAUGGACCCGCGUCUGAUUAGGUAGUUGGUGGGGUAACGGCCUACCAAGCCGACGAUCAGUAGCCGACCUGAGAGGGUGACCGGCCACAUUGGGACUGAGACACGGCCCAA
This 240-nucleotide ribosomal RNA is filed under the name uncultured bacterium. RNAcentral describes it as "partial 16S ribosomal RNA". It matches the Rfam family "Bacterial small subunit ribosomal RNA", at positions 94 to 334 of the family's 1533-position model. The record is from RNAcentral.